Molecule: ribosomal RNA, 478 nt
Filed under: uncultured bacterium
Lineage: Bacteria
Description: partial 16S ribosomal RNA
Rfam family: Bacterial small subunit ribosomal RNA
Source: RNAcentral
GACGAACGCUGGCGGCGUGCUUAACACAUGCAAGUCGAACGGUAAGGCCCUUCGGGGUACACGAGUGGCGAACGGGUGAGUAACACGUGGGUGAUCUGCCCUGCACUUCGGGAUAAGCCUGGGAAACUGGGUCUAAUACCGGAUAGGACCCUGGGAUGCAUGUCCUGGGGUGGAAAGCUUUUGCGGUGUGGGAUGGGCCCGCGGCCUAUCAGCUUGUUGGUGGGGUGAUGGCCUACCAAGGCGACGACGGGUAGCCGGCCUGAGAGGGUGACCGGCCACCCUGGGACUGUGAUACGGCCCAGGCUCCUACGGGAGGCAGCAGUGGGGAAUAUUGCACAAUGGGCGCAAGCCUGAUGCAGCGACGCCGCGUGAGGGAUGACGGCCUUCGGGUUGUAAACCUCUUUCAGCACCGACGAAGCGCAAGUGACGGUAGGUGCAGAAGAAGGACCGGCCAACUACGUGCCAGCCGCCGCCGUAA